RNAcentral lists this ribosomal RNA (517 nucleotides) under uncultured Alphaproteobacteria bacterium. Its description in RNAcentral is "partial 16S ribosomal RNA". It matches the Rfam family "Bacterial small subunit ribosomal RNA", at positions 335 to 881 of the family's 1533-position model. The record is from RNAcentral. Lineage: Bacteria; Pseudomonadati; Pseudomonadota; Alphaproteobacteria.
UUCCCUUGGGGGGGCCACAAGGGGGUAUUUUUGGCCAAGGGGGAAAGCUUUAUCCCAACCCAUCCGCGCUUGACAAAAAGGCCCUCGGGUGUGUAAGCAGUUUAUGUGGGUGGGAAAAUCUUUUUCUCUUAAUACCAUUGCAUUAAGGCGUCCCCAGGAAAAAAAGUCCCCGGCUAACUUCGGUCCCACCACCGGGUGUAAUUCAGUCCGCCGCGGGCGUUUUUUAAAUUCGAUGAAAAUUCCCGGGCUCCACCCUGGAACUGGCUUUAAAAAUGUCAAGCUUGAGUUCCCGCGGAGGGGGAUGAAUUCCCGUGUGUAGCAUUAAAUUGUGUAUAUUUUGGAGAGACACCCGUGUGGGAAGGCGACUCCCCUGACCCUCCCUGCACUCUAAGUCGAAAAAGCUUGGGGGCAAACCGGUUUAAGUUCCCUGGUAGUUCCACCCGUUAACGAAGAUCACUAGCUUGUUGGUCCCAUCCCUCAGUGCCGCAGCUAACGCGUAAGUGACCGCAUGCAUAUA